UGAACGCUGGCGGCGUGCCUAACACAUGCAAGUCGAACGAGAACGGGUAUUAGCUUGCUAAUACUGUCAGCUAAGUGGCGCACGGGUGAGUAAUAUAUAGUUAACCUGCCCCAAAGAAGAGAAUAAUUGUUGGAAACGACUUGUAAUGCUCUAUAUGCCUUUAUCACAUAAGUGAGCAAGGGAAACAUUUAUGGCUUUGGGAUGGGACUGUACGGUAUCAGUUUGUUGGUGAGGUAAUGGCUCACCAAGACUAUGACGCCUAACUGGUUUGAGAGGAUGAUCAGUCACACUGGAACUGAGACACGGUCCAGACUCCUACGGGAGGCAGCAGUGGGGAAUAUUGCACAAUGGAGGAAACUCUGAUGCAGCAACGCCGCGUGGAGGAUGACACAUUUAGGUGCGUAAACUCCUUUUAUAUGAGAAGAUAAUGACGGUAUCAUAUGAAUAAGCACCGGCUAACUCC
Molecule: ribosomal RNA, 463 nt
Filed under: uncultured bacterium
Lineage: Bacteria
Description: bacterial SSU rRNA
Rfam family: Bacterial small subunit ribosomal RNA
Source: RNAcentral